Molecule: ribosomal RNA, 372 nt
Filed under: uncultured organism
Description: partial 16S ribosomal RNA
Rfam family: Bacterial small subunit ribosomal RNA
Source: RNAcentral
GUAGGUGGCAAGCGUUGUCCGGAAUUAUUGGGCGUAAAGCGCGCGCAGGCGGUCCUUUAAGUCUGAUGUGAAAGCCCACGGCUCAACCGUGGAGGGUCAUUGGAAACUGGGGACUUGAGUACAGAAGAGGAAAGCGGAAUUCCAAGUGUAGCGGUGAAAUGCGUAGAGAUUUGGAGGAACACCAGUGGCGAAGGCGGCUUUCUGGUCUGUAACUGACGCUGAGGCGCGAAAGCGUGGGGAGCAAACAGGAUUAGAUACCCUUGUAGUCCACGCCGUAAACGAUGAGUGCUAAGUGUUAGGGGGUUUCCCGCCCCCUUAGUGCUGCAGCUAACGCAUUAAGCACUCCGCCUGGGGAGUACGGCCGCAAGGCUG